CCUACGGGAGGCAGCAGUGGGGAAUUUUGCGCAAUGCUCGUAAGAGUGACGCAGCGACGCCGCGUGAAUGACGAAGGCCUUCGGGUCGUAAAGUUCUUUCGAUAGGGAAGAAAAUGCUUAUAAGUAACUGUGUAUGUAUUUACGGUACCUGUAUAAGCAGCCCCGGCUAACUCCGUGCCAGCAGCCGCGGUAAUACGGAGGGGGCGAGCGUUGUUCGGAGUGAUUGGGCGUAAAGAGCACGUAGGCGGUGUUGUAAGUCAUUAGUCAAAGACUAGAGCUCAACUUUAGUAAGGCUAGUGAUACUAUAAUACUAGAGUAUCAGAGAGGAUUGCAGAAUUCCUGGUGUAGCGGUGAAAUGCGUAGAUAUCAGGAGGAAUACCGUUAGCGAAGGCAGCAAUCUGGCUGGAAACUGACGCUGAGGUGCGAAAGCGUGGGUAGCAAACAGGAUUAGAUACCCCAGUAGUC
This 465-nucleotide ribosomal RNA is filed under the name uncultured bacterium. RNAcentral's name for it is "partial 16S ribosomal RNA". It matches the Rfam family "Bacterial small subunit ribosomal RNA", at positions 338 to 795 of the family's 1533-position model. The record is from RNAcentral.